Long non-coding RNA from Pipistrellus kuhlii (Kuhl's pipistrelle), 1150 nucleotides. RefSeq lists it as uncharacterized. Lineage: Eukaryota; Metazoa; Chordata; Mammalia; Chiroptera; Vespertilionidae. The transcript is spliced from 2 exons. The record is from RefSeq and is a predicted model, not a curated record.
AGCUUGUGCCCCCAGCCUCGCAGCCCCUGAUCCCUGCCUGGCACCCUGCCUUGGCCUGGCACCGCCCCCUUACCUUCUCCACCAUCCCGCCUGCAGGAUGAUCGAUCAGGGCUGGGCCCCCCUACCCAGCUUCCUCAGCACUUGUAAGCCAGCAAUGGCUCUGCCCCCCUGCCACUGGUCACUGUCUGCUGUACAAUCAGCGGGGCAAUAGGACCCCUGCUCACACUCACCUUUGCCUGGCGCCACCUGCUCACCUCCAACAUCCCACCAUGGUCCCGCUGUUCUCCGGGCUGGCAGCGCCUCCACUGCCAGUGCUGCAUCGCUGAUGCCUGCCCUGUUCUAUUCUGUGCCCCCCCCCCCCCCCCCCCGUGGUCAGCGCACAUCAUAGUAAGCAGUUGAACUCCCUGUCCAAAGAUGAGUGACUGCCUAAGGGACAAUUUGCAUAUUAGACUUAAGUAACAAAUCCUAAAUAAUACAUGUUUUUCCAAGAUGAUUAGUCCCAAAUAUCCAUCCCAAAUAUGCUUUGGGCAUCUUUGUAAAUUAGGAAAGGACUCUUUCUGCUUGCUGUGGACUGUCUUAAGUGAUUCCAGAGAUUUGCACUUAGUGAAGGAAGAGUCCAGUAAGAAUAUAAAUGUAUAGCCAGGGCAAUGUGCUUAAAUAAAAUAGCAUUUUCUGCCCUCUGAACAUUAAUUUCUCCUGCUAGAUUUUGAAUCUUGGUGAUUAGUUUCCAGUUACAUUUCACUUGUUCUUGGUUUAUUGUAGGUUGUUUUAUGGGACUUGUUAGCUGAGUUCUGUAUCAUCACAAGAAGAGGAAAGGCUAUCAAUUAAUGGCUCUUUUAAAACUGAAUAAGUAUCUUGAGUGCUGUAUCCCCAGAUUCAGUGUUCAGUACCAUAACUGAUCUGAGAUUCCAUUUCUGAUGAGCUCUACGUGAUGAUGAUGCUGGGCCUGGACUACAAUUCGAGUAACUAGGGUGAAGACUAUUAUUGAUGUGUCAAUAUACUUUCAAUAUGAGGAAAUACAAUGAAGUUUAUAGGCCAAUUUUUAUCUUGCUUAAGAUAGAUUUUUUAAGACUCCUAAAGAUUUCUUAAAGGUAUUUGGUACUUAGUUUUGCCUUGCUUUCUUUUUAAAAAAUUAAAAGUUUAUAUUAUA